This 497-nucleotide ribosomal RNA is filed under the name uncultured bacterium. Its description in RNAcentral is "partial 16S ribosomal RNA". It matches the Rfam family "Bacterial small subunit ribosomal RNA", at positions 28 to 507 of the family's 1533-position model. The record is from RNAcentral.
GAUGGACGCUGGCGGCGUGCCUAAUACAUGCAAGUCGAGCGAACGGACGAGAAGCUUGCUUCUCUGAUGUUAGCGGCGGACGGGUGAGUAACACGUGGAUAACCUACCUAUAAGACUGGGAUAACUUCGGGAAACCGGAGCUAAUACCGGAUAAUAUUUUGAACCGCAUGGUUCAAAAGUGAAAGACGGUCUUGCUGUCACUUAUAGAUGGAUCCGCGCUGCAUUAGCUAGUUGGUAAGGUAACGGCUUACCAAGGCAACGAUGCAUAGCCGACCUGAGAGGGUGAUCGGCCACACUGGAACUGAGACACGGUUCAGACUCCUACGGGAGGCAGCAGUAGGGAAUCUUCCGCAAUGGGCGAAAGCCUGACGGAGCAACGCCGCGUGAGUGAUGAAGGUCUUCGGAUCGUAAAACUCUGUUAUUAGGGAAGAACAUAUGUGUAAGUAACUGUGCACAUCUUGACGGUACCUAAUCAGAAAGCCACGGCUAACUACGUG